GAAGGACGUGCUUUCUCAGGACAGAGUUGUAGACACAAAAAGAUACACUGGCUGACACUUAAUAAAUAUUGGACACACUUAAUAAAUCUGGACAUUUAAUAAUUAUUGAAGAAAAUUAAUAAUUCGCAGAACUUUGGCAGCGAUACUGACUGACUAUAAGUUUGGACACUUAAUAAGUAUUGAAGAAAAUUGAUGAAAUUUGCAGAACUUUGGCAGCGAAAUAUCUACAAUUCAAAGGAAUUCCCACGGGAAAGUUCUACACGAGCAGGAUAUCAUUCGCGCUUUUAAUACUGGUAUUAGUAGUGAAAAUAACGAAGCAGCGGUCGAUUCAGCUUCGAGUGUGGUUUUCGCAGAGCAGCGCUUCAGUUGAAUGCGUGCUAAGUAUUGUGCGGUUUAGCUUGGCCGUUCUCGUGGUCGAGUUAAAUGGCGCAUUGAUCAAAAUUAAAUGCCGAACGAUAAAGGACAAAGAGGAGAAGAAGAAAAGGAGGAAAUCUGGAGCAUCAAGCGAAUAAUUGUGAGAUCCUGUGCAAAGAACUGAUUUAACGAGAGGACUGAACGGUAUCACUUUCGAAGACUGUCAAAAGAGAACAAGCAACACAUACCUAACGUAUG
Long non-coding RNA from Cataglyphis hispanica, 612 nucleotides. RefSeq lists it as uncharacterized. Lineage: Eukaryota; Metazoa; Arthropoda; Insecta; Hymenoptera; Formicidae. The record is from RefSeq and is a predicted model, not a curated record. The transcript has 7 exons.